Mytilus californianus (California mussel) is the source of this 3120-nucleotide long non-coding RNA. RefSeq lists it as uncharacterized. The record is from RefSeq and is a predicted model, not a curated record. The transcript is spliced from 2 exons. NCBI's taxonomy places the organism in Eukaryota, Metazoa, Mollusca, Bivalvia, Mytilida, Mytilidae.
UGUUCAGAGUCAGAAUAAUGUGUCAAGGUAAGGUGACAUGUCUCUCUGAGAACUAGUGUAAGAGAUAAAUUGUCUGGUCAGACAAAUAUAACUAGUAUAAAAAGUCCAUGGAUACAGAAUUUACUAAUAUAUUUAGUCCGAUGUCAGUAAUUUAUGUCCCCAGACUAAUUUUCCUAGUCCAUGACAUCACUAUUCCUAGGUAAAAAUGUCCAGUUUUUCUAAUACUGUAUGCAACAUGUCAAGUAUAUUUGGUGUAUGAAAAUUUUUAAGGAUGUACAUGUUAGUCUGGCAUGUUUUAUUCGACCUUGACCUCAUUUUUAUGGUUCAUUGCUCAAUGUUAUUUUAUUGUUUUUUGGUCAGUUUUUCUAUUUUCUUAUUUUCAAAUUAGCAAUAGGUCAACUAUAUUUGGUGUAUGGAAUGAUUGUAAGGUGCAUAUGUCUGACUGAGAAGUUUCAUCUUACCUUGACUUUAUUUUCAUAGUACAUUGGACAAUGUUUAGUUUUUGUGGUUUUUUUCGGAUACUGUAAGCAAAAACAUGAAUAAGGCCCCUAUAUUUGGUGAAUGGAAUGAUUGUGAGAUGCACAUGUCUGUCUGGCAUGUUUUAUAUGACCUUGACCUCAUUUUCAUGGUUCAUUGGUCAAUGAAAAGUUUGCAUUGUUUUGUCAGUUUAUCAUAUGCUUUAAGCAACAAGUAAAUUAUAUUUGGCGGAUGUAACGAUUGUAAGGUGUUCAUGUCUGUCUGGCAGAUUCAUAUAACCAUGAUCGCAUUUUAUGGUUCUUUGGUCAAUGCUAAGUUUUCUUGGUUUUUUAUACGACCGCAAAAAAUUGGUAUGACGUUGGCGUUGUCGUGGUCCGAAGACAUAUUGGUUUUCGCACUCUAAAUUUAGUUUAAGUGAAUGGAUCUCUAUGAAAUUUUACCAUAAGGACUGAUUUUGGGGGUUAUGGUACCAACAGUUAAGGGAAAAGGGACCAAAAAUAAGCAUUUUUGUAACUUCCAGACAUAACUUGUGUGUUAGUGUAUGGAUCUCUCUGACAUUGUACCACAAGGUUCCAUAUCACACAGGGAAUGCUUGGAUUGAUUUUGGGGGUAAUUGCCUCAAAAUAUAAGGAAUUAGGGGCCAAAAAAGGGGCAAAAAACAAGCAUUUUUCUAGUUUCAUGACAAUAACUUGUGUGUAAGUGUAUGGAUCUUUCUGAAAUUGUAUUACAAGGUUUCAUAUCACAAAGGGAAUGCUGGAAUUGAGUUUGGGGGUAAUUGCCCAAAAUGUUUAGGAAUAAGGGGCCAAAAAGGGGCCAAAAAUAAGCAUUUUUCUAGUUUCCAGACAAUAACUUGUGUUCAAGUCUAAGGAUCUCUCUGAAAUUGUACUGCAAGGUACCAUACCACAAAGGGAAGGCUGGGAUUGAUUUUGGGGGCAAUUGCUUUAAAAUUGUAGGAAUAAGGGGCCAAAGAAGGGGCAAAAAACAAGAAUUCUUCUAGUUUCAUGACAAUAACUUGUGUGUAAGUGUAUGGAUCUUUCUGAAAUUGUACUACAAGGUUCCAUAUCACAAAGGGAAAGCUGGGUUUGAGUUUGGGGGUAAUUGCCCUAAACGUUUAGGAAUUUGGGGCCAAAAAAACAAGCAUUUUUCUAGUUUCCAGACAAUAACUUGUGUAUAAGUGUAUGGAUCUUUCUGAAAUUGUACUGCAAGGUACCAUACCACAAAGGGAAGGCUGGGAUUGAGUUUGGGGUGAUGAAUCAUAAGGGGGUUCAAAAAAUUUUUGGGGGGGGGGAUUUUUUUUCCUUUUUUUUUCUUUAAAAUUUUCCAUUUUAAAUUGGUUAUUUCUGAUUUAUAUAUAAAAGCAAAUAAUAAUGAUAUGGUUUGAAUAGGUAAAUUAAAAUUUUUAAGUUCUUAGACCACAUUCAUUCUGUGUCAGAAACCUAUGCUGUGUCAAAUAUUUAAUCACAAUCCAAAUUCAGAGCUGUAUCAAGCUUGAAUGUUGUGUCCAUACUUGCCCCAACUGUUCAGGGUUCGACCUCUGCGGUCGUAUCAAGCUGCGCCCAGCGGAGCAUUUUAUUCAUUUUAUCAGAUAUUAUAAGCAUAUGUCUACUUGUUGGUGUAUGGAAUGACUGCAAGGUGUCAUAUAAAAAUAAGAAGAUGUCUGUCUGCCAAGUUUAAUAUUACUGAGACCUUAUUUUCAUAGAAUAUUGAUAAUAUCAAGCAAAAAUGAUGAGCAAGACAAGAUACAAAUGAUCCAAAAUUGUCAGUUGCCUACUCAUUAUGUAAUAGUAGUUAUUGUCAUCAAAUGAUAAUGUUUACCCUUUUAUGUGUAGGGCAAGAACAUUAAAGAUAAAGGGAAACUAUAAACAAAAGAAAUUAUCAACAAAAAUAGAUUUACAGACGUCAACAAAGCCUAAAUGGUCAGACAUCUUGGUUUUCAUGAUCAUCAUUCAACAGGUCAAUACUGAACAGCAAACUUAAAGUUGAUAUUUUUCUACAUAGUGUGACUUUUUUAUUAAUUUGAAAUGGAAUGUGGUUUUUUUUCCUACAUAAGAAAGAGGAAAUUUCAACAUAAUGACUAUAAACAAAAAGGAGUCAUAUCAUCAUGAUCAUAGAUGCUCAAGAACUUAAUCAUGUAAAUGCAACAACGUAAUUAUCAAUUGAAAGAAGGGAGGAAUGAAAAAAUAUAUAAGUAUUUUGUUGUCCAAAUGAACUUGCUUUGUCCACUCAUUUAAAUCGCUCCAUCCAAUAAAGAUGUACGGAGGAAGAUUUUUGAAGAACAGAUUGCAAAAAUGUUUUGUCUAAGAAUUGUAGGAACAUUCUAGUGGAUGAAAUAAUUUAUUUACUUGACUCUUAUAUAGUGGACUGAAUAAUUGUUCAUAGCAAGCUGAAACAAGAAAACUAAAACUUAACAGGAAAAGUGUUUAUUUUAUAAAUUUACAAAUAUAAAUGUAAUAUUAUGAACACCACAAAGGAAUAAGAUUCAAAUCGUUUGCAUAUUCAUGUAUUGCAAUGGAACUAUAACAAAGAAAACUUUACCUCAUGAAAAGAGUAAACUAUUAACUGUACUUUGUCAAUUUAUUCAGUCAGAAUAUGAAAUAUUUUUUUCAGUUCUAUUUUUCAUAAUAAAACAAAGAAGACAAAGAU